UUUUGACCUCGGAUCAGGUAGGGAUACCCGCUGAACUUAAGCAUAUCAAUAAGCCGGAGGAAAACCCU
RNAcentral lists this ribosomal RNA (68 nucleotides) under Alternaria sp. H-fz3. Its description in RNAcentral is "partial 28S ribosomal RNA". The record is from RNAcentral. Lineage: Eukaryota; Fungi; Ascomycota; Dothideomycetes; Pleosporales; Pleosporaceae.